RNAcentral lists this ribosomal RNA (468 nucleotides) under uncultured bacterium. Its description in RNAcentral is "partial 16S ribosomal RNA". It matches the Rfam family "Bacterial small subunit ribosomal RNA", at positions 28 to 507 of the family's 1533-position model. The record is from RNAcentral.
GACGAACGCUGGCGGCGUGCUUAACACAUGCAAGUCGAACGGAAAGGCCCUGCUUUUGUGGGGUGCUCGAUUGGCGAACGGGUGAGUAACACGUGAGUAACCUGCCCUUGACUUUGGGAUAACUUCAGGAAACUGGGGCUAAUACCGGAUAGGAGCUCCUGCUGCAUGGUGGGGGUUGGAAAGUUUCGGCGGUUGGGGAUAGACUCGCGGCUUAUCAGCUUGUUGGUCAGGUAGUGGCUUACCAAGGCUUUGACGGGUAGCCGGCCUGAGAGGGUUAACGGCCACAUUGGGACUGAGAUACGGAGCAGAAUGCUACGGGAGGCAGUAGUGGGGGAUAUGGCACAGCGGGCCGAAGCCAGUGACAGCGACGCCGGGUGCGGGAUGACGGCCUACGGGUGAAGAACCGCUUUCGCCUGAGACGUAGAGUGAGUGACGGUAAUGGGUAAAGAAGCACCGGCUAACUACGUG